CAGAUUGAACGCUGGCGGCAGGCCUAACACAUGCAAGUCGAGCGGUAGCACAGAGAGCUUGCUCUCGGGUGACGAGCGGCGGACGGGUGAGUAAUGUCUGGGAAACUGCCUGAUGGAGGGGGAUAACUACUGGAAACGGUAGCUAAUACCGCAUAACGUCGCAAGACCAAAGAGGGGGACCUUCGGGCCUCUUGCCAUCAGAUGUGCCCAGAUGGGAUUAGCUAGUAGGUGGGGUAACGGCUCACCUAGGCGACGAUCCCUAGCUGGUCUGAGAGGGUGACCAGCCACACUGGAACUGAGACACGGUCCAGACUCCUACGGGAGGCAGCAGUGGGGAAUAUUGCACAAUGGGCGCAAGCCUGAUGCAGCCAUGCCGCGUGUAUGAAGAAGGCCUUCGGGUUGUAAAGUACUUUCAGCGGGGAGGAAGGCGAUAAGGUUAAUAACCUUGUCGAUUGACGUUACCCGCAGAAGAAGCACCGGCUAACUCCGUGCCAGCAGCCGCGGUAAUACGGAGGGUGCAAGCGUUAAUCGGAAUUACUGGGCGUAAAGCGCACGCAGGCGGUCUGUCAAGUCGGAUGUGAAAUCCCCGGGCUCAACCUGGGAACUGCAUUCGAAACUGGCAGGCUAGAGUCUUGUAGAGGGGGGUAGAA
RNAcentral lists this ribosomal RNA (650 nucleotides) under uncultured Enterobacter sp. Its description in RNAcentral is "bacterial SSU rRNA". It matches the Rfam family "Bacterial small subunit ribosomal RNA", at positions 25 to 666 of the family's 1533-position model. The record is from RNAcentral. Lineage: Bacteria; Pseudomonadati; Pseudomonadota; Gammaproteobacteria; Enterobacterales; Enterobacteriaceae.